AGGAUUAUGUCUGCUGUCUACCCCGUGGGAUGCAGACAGAGACCACGAAGUUACAGAGCCCUCUCCAUCUUCACUCCCCCGUUCAGGGCUCCUGGCUGAGCCCCGACUGUGUGUGAAGUCAGGCCCUCUGAAGAGGAGCAUUCGCAUCCACAUCUGACCCCCUAUUAAUGGGACAAAUGGAUUCCUUGAAUGAGUCCUUUCUACCAUCCAAGUGUAGGCCAAGACUUCCGCCCAGGCCUCCUGAUUCCCACAGACACAGCAAUAUUAAGAUUAGGUCAUUUUUCUUUUCUUUUUCUUUUUUUUUUUUUUUUGACUGAGUCUUGCUCUGUCAUCCAGGAUGGAGUGCAGUGGCACAAUCUUGGUUCACUG
RNAcentral lists this non-coding RNA (369 nucleotides) under Pongo abelii (Sumatran orangutan). Lineage: Eukaryota; Metazoa; Chordata; Mammalia; Primates; Hominidae. The record is from RNAcentral.